RNAcentral lists this ribosomal RNA (419 nucleotides) under bacterium. RNAcentral describes it as "partial 16S ribosomal RNA". It matches the Rfam family "Bacterial small subunit ribosomal RNA", at positions 355 to 776 of the family's 1533-position model. The record is from RNAcentral.
UGGGGGAUAUUGCACAAUGGGCGAAAGCCUGAUGCAGCGACGCCGCGUGGGGGAUGAAGGCCUUCGGGUUGUAAACUUCUUUUGCUCUGAACAAGGCGCACCAUGGGGUGUGUUGAGUGUAGGGGUUGAUUAGCGCCGGCUAACUACGUGCCAGCAGCCGCGGUAAUACGUAGGGCGCGAGCGUUGUCCGGAAUUAUUGGGCGUAAAGGGCUUGUAGGUGGCUGGUUGCGUCUGUCGUGAAAGCUCAUGGCUUAACUGUGGGUUUGCGGUGGGUACGGGCUGGCUUGAGUGCAGUAGGGGAGGCUGGAAUUCCUGGUGUAGCGGUGGAAUGCGCAGAUAUCAGGAGGAGUACCGGUGGCGAGGGCGGGUCUCUGGGCUGUUACUGACACUGAGGAGCGAAAGCAUGGGGAGCGAACAGG